This 465-nucleotide ribosomal RNA is filed under the name Acinetobacter venetianus. Its description in RNAcentral is "bacterial SSU rRNA". It matches the Rfam family "Bacterial small subunit ribosomal RNA", at positions 419 to 875 of the family's 1533-position model. The record is from RNAcentral. Lineage: Bacteria; Pseudomonadati; Pseudomonadota; Gammaproteobacteria; Moraxellales; Moraxellaceae.
AUGGUUGUAAAGCACUUUAAGCGAGGAGGAGGCUACUAGUAUUAAUACUACUGGAUAGUGGACGUUACUCGCAAAAUAAGCACCGGCUAACUCUGUGCCAGCAGCCGCGGUAAUACAGAGGGUGCGAGCGUUAAUCGGAUUUACUGGGCGUAAAGCGUGCGUAGGCGGCCAUUUAAGUCAAAUGUGAAAUCCCCGAGCUUAACUUGGGAAUUGCAUUCAAUACUGGAUGGCUAGAGUAUGGGAGAGGAUGGUAGAAUUCCAGGUGUAGCGGUGAAAUGCGUAGAGAUCUGGAGGAAUACCGAUGGCGAACGCAGCCAUCUGGCCUAAUACUGACGCUGAGGUACGAAAGCAUGGGGAGCAAACAGGAUUAGAUACCCUGGUAGUCCAUGCCGUAAACGAUGUCUACUAGCCGUUGGGGCCUUUGAGGCUUUAGUGGCGCAGCUAACGCGAUAAGUAGACCGCCUG